AUUGAACGCUGGCGGCAGGCCUAACACAUGCAAGUCGAACGGUAGCACAGAGAGCUUGCUCUUGGGUGACGAGUGGCGGACGGGUGAGUAAUGUCUGGGAAACUGCCCGAUGGAGGGGGACAACUACUGGAAACGGUAGCUAAUACCGCAUAACGUCUUCGGACCAAAGUGGGGGACCUUCGGGCCUCACACCAUCGGAUGUGCCCAGAUGGGAUUAGCUAGUAGGUGGGGUAAUGGCUCACCUAGGCGACGAUCCCUAGCUGGUCUGAGAGGAUGACCAGCCAAACUAGAACUGAGACACGGUCCAGACUCCUACGGGAGGGAGCAGUGGGGAAUAUUGCACAAUGGGCGCAAGCCUGAUGCAGCCAUGCCGCGUGUAUGAAGAAGGCCUUCGGGUUGUAAGGUACUUUCAGCGGGGAGGAAGGCGUUAAGGUUAAUAACCUUGGCGAUUGACGUUACCCGCAGAAGAAGCACCGGCUAACUCCGUGCCAGCCGCCGCGGUAA
RNAcentral lists this ribosomal RNA (504 nucleotides) under uncultured bacterium. RNAcentral's name for it is "partial 16S ribosomal RNA". It matches the Rfam family "Bacterial small subunit ribosomal RNA", at positions 30 to 523 of the family's 1533-position model. The record is from RNAcentral.